Molecule: unclassified non-coding RNA, 954 nt
Filed under: Hevea brasiliensis (rubber tree)
Lineage: Eukaryota; Viridiplantae; Streptophyta; Magnoliopsida; Malpighiales; Euphorbiaceae
Source: RNAcentral
UUUUAUUUAUUUAUUUAUUUAUUACCAAUUUUGAUUGUCUGGCCGCUGUGAUAUGUCAUAGUAGGUUAUCUUGCAAUUCCUUGCAUUAGAUAAACUCUUCUUAAAUGUCCUGGUCUUAAGGUGUUAUUGCCCUCAAAACCAGGGCUUGUUGUCUUCCUGCUAAUUGAGUUGUGAAAUUAGAAGUUAUCAUUUUGAUUUCUCUCUCUUUCUACUAAGUAUUCAACAUCUUGUGAUAAUGCAAUCAUUUUCCCCCCCUUUUAACCCUUUACAUUCAAGGAUUGAAUUGUAACAUUGACUGAAAUUAAUUUGCCAUAAAUUGUCUAUUUUGUAGCAAAUUAUGGAAAUGGAAUCAUUUGUAUGUUGGAAGUUGUUUAUGGUUUUUUGUUGGAGCAUGGUCAUUUGCCCAAUUUCACAAACCUGCUGAUUCAAAUUAUUAGUAUGAUAGUGUCCUUAUUCUGUUGUUGCUGCCAUCACCACCACCACCUCCACUACUGUGCAUUUUACCAGUUGAUUGUUGUCAUCUCGAAUGAUUUCUAUAGAAUAUGUAGCACCACGCUGGCUGCUUCACUGCUUUCAUCAGUUUUGUUAUGCGCUAUCACAACUCCUGGCACCAGGUUACCACCCUUGGCUUCUGAUGCUAUCAUCUUAUCACCUUUGCAAUCAACAGAACAUGUGGCAAAAUCCAUGGAAUUCCAAAUGGAAGGGAAAGUCUAUUUGUUGCUAAUGAUGAACACUUUUAAUACCUUUCUUGAAAAAUUAUGUCAUUUUUAUUUCUGACUGAUAUGAUCACCAAGGAUGUUUACUUUAGCUGCUUCAUCUUGAACUUCAUUAUAUUUAAACUAAUGCUUGUGUUAUCAUUUGUUUCUGUGUGUUUCCAUUCCAGACACUUGGCAAUUGCUUAUGACAUUUCUUUUUGCCCUACCUAUUACAGGCUGGACUUUUUGUAUAUGAUAU